RNAcentral lists this long non-coding RNA (227 nucleotides) under Rosa chinensis. RNAcentral's name for it is "sRNA RchiOBHm_Chr3g0483221". Lineage: Eukaryota; Viridiplantae; Streptophyta; Magnoliopsida; Rosales; Rosaceae. The record is from RNAcentral.
CGGAGGUGGUUGACCGCCGUGUUGACCGCCGCGUUGACCGCCGUCUGACCACCGCUUGUGGCGGCGCGUCGGACCAUAUUUUGAGUUUAUAUUAUCUGGACGAUGAUCUACGCAUCCAUACGAGCGUUUUGAUAUAUUACAAGGUUAUUUUUGAAAAAGUUGAUAAAUAGUGGAUUUACGUUUUGACGUUACUAUUUAACGUUUUUACGUUUUAUCUUCGGUUUACG